This 482-nucleotide ribosomal RNA is filed under the name Bacillus pumilus. RNAcentral's name for it is "bacterial SSU rRNA". It matches the Rfam family "Bacterial small subunit ribosomal RNA", at positions 519 to 1001 of the family's 1533-position model. Lineage: Bacteria; Bacillati; Bacillota; Bacilli; Caryophanales; Bacillaceae. The record is from RNAcentral.
GGUAAUACGUAGGUGGCAAGCGUUGUCCGGAAUUAUUGGGCGUAAAGGGCUCGCAGGCGGUUUCUAAGUCUGAUGUGAAAGCCCCCGGCUCAACCGGGGAGGGUCAUUGGAAACUGGGAAACUUGAGUGCAGAAGAGGAGAGUGGAAUUCCACGUGUAGUGGUGAAAUGCUAGAGAUGUGGAGGAACACCAGUGGCGAAGGCGACUCUCUGGUCUGUAACUGACGCUGAGGAGCGAAAGCGUGGGGAGCGAACAGGAUUAGAUACCCUGGUAGUCCACGCCGUAAACGAUGAGUGUUAAGUGUUAGGGGGUUUCCGCCCCUUAGUGCUGCAGCUAACGCAUUAAGCACUCCGCCUGGGGAGUACGGUCGCAAGACUGAAACUCAAAGGAAUUGACGGGGGCCCGCACAAGCGGUGGAGCAUGUGGUUUAAUUCGAAGCAACGCGAAGAACCUUACCAGGUCUUGACAUCCUCUGACAACCCU